This 490-nucleotide ribosomal RNA is filed under the name uncultured bacterium. Its description in RNAcentral is "partial 16S ribosomal RNA". It matches the Rfam family "Bacterial small subunit ribosomal RNA", at positions 30 to 507 of the family's 1533-position model. The record is from RNAcentral.
AUUGAACGCUGGCGGCAGGCCUAACACAUGCAAGUCGAACGGUAACAGGAAGAAGCUUGCUUCUUUGCUGACGAGUGGCGGACGGGUGAGUAAUGUCUGGGAAACUGCCUGAUGGAGGGGGAUAACUACUGGAAACGGUAGCUAAUACCGCAUAACGUCGCAAGACCAAAGAGGGGGACCUUCGGGCCUCUUGCCAUCGGAUGUGCCCAGAUGGGAUUAGCUUGUUGGUGGGGUAACGGCUCACCAAGGCGACGAUCCCUAGCUGGUCUGAGAGGAUGACCAGCCACACUGGAACUGAGACACGGUCCAGACUCCUACGGGAGGCAGCAGUGGGGAAUAUUGCACAAUGGGCGCAAGCCUGAUGCAGCCAUGCCGCGUGUAUGAAGAAGGCCUUCGGGUUGUAAGGUACUUUCAGCGGGGAGGAAGGGAGUAAAGUUAAUACCUUUGCUCAUUGACGUUACCCGCAGAAGAAGCACCGGCUAACUCCGUG